Molecule: ribosomal RNA, 208 nt
Filed under: uncultured bacterium
Lineage: Bacteria
Description: partial 16S ribosomal RNA
Rfam family: Bacterial small subunit ribosomal RNA
Source: RNAcentral
GCGCGUAGGCGGACUAUUAAGUCAGGGGUGAAAUCCCGGGGCUCAACCCCGGAACUGCCCUUGAUACUGGUAGUCUUGAGUUCGAGAGAGGUGAGUGGAAUUCCGAGUGUAGAGGUGAAAUUCGUAGAUAUUCGGAGGAACACCAGUGGCGAAGGCGGCUCACUGGCUCGAUACUGACGCUGAGGUGCGAAAGCGUGGGGAGCAAACA